RNAcentral lists this ribosomal RNA (496 nucleotides) under uncultured bacterium. RNAcentral describes it as "partial 16S ribosomal RNA". It matches the Rfam family "Bacterial small subunit ribosomal RNA", at positions 28 to 506 of the family's 1533-position model. The record is from RNAcentral.
GAUGAACGCUGGCGGCGUGCUUAACACAUGCAAGUCGAGCGAACGGACGCGGAGCUUGCUUCUUUGAUGUUUGCGGCGGACGGGUGUGUAACACGUGGAUACACUACCUAUAUGACUGGGAUAACUUCGGGAAACCGGAGCUAAUACCGGAUAAUAUUUUGAACCGCAUGGUUCAAAAGUGAAAGGCGGUCUUGCUGUCACUUAUAGAUGGAUCCGAGCUGCAUUAGCUAGUUGGUAAGGUAACGGCUUACCAAGGCAACGAUGCAUAGCCGACCAGAGAGGGAGAGCGGCCACACUGGAACGGAGACACGGUCCAGUCGCCUACGGGAGACAGCAGUAGGAAAUCUUGCGCAAGGGGCGAGAGCCUGACGGAGAAACGGCGCGAGAGUGAUGAAGGUCCGCGGAGCGUAGAACUCUGGUAUUAGGGAAGAACAUAUGUGUAGGUUACUGUGAAGAGUUUGACGGUACCGAAUCAAAAAGCCACGGCUAACAACGU